AUUGAACGCUGGCGGCAUGCUUUACACAUGCAAGUCGAACGGCAGCACGGGGGCAACCCUGGUGGCGAGUGGCGAACGGGUGAGUAAUGCAUCGGAACGCGUCCUGUAAUGGGGGAUAACCUAGCGAAAGUUAGGCUAAUACCGCAUACGUCCUGAGGGAGAAAGCGGGGGAUCGUAAGACCUCGUGUUAUAGGAGCGGCCGAUGUCGGAUUAGCUAGUUGGUGGGGUAAAGGCCUACCAAGGCAACGAUCUGUAGUUGGUCUGAGAGGACGACCAGCCACACUGGGACUGAGACACGGCCCAGACUCCUACGGGAGGCAGCAGUGGGGAAUUUUGGACAAUGGGCGCAAGCCUGAUCCAGCAAUGCCGCGUGCAGGAAGAAGGCCU
RNAcentral lists this ribosomal RNA (387 nucleotides) under uncultured bacterium. Its description in RNAcentral is "bacterial SSU rRNA". It matches the Rfam family "Bacterial small subunit ribosomal RNA", at positions 30 to 417 of the family's 1533-position model. The record is from RNAcentral.